CCUGUCAAGAAUUAAAUGUCAUGAUUUAUCUCCAUUUAAAUAAAAGUCAAUAUCCAGCUAAACAAUUAAAUAUAUAGUUGAGUUUUAAAGAAGUCUGUGUUUAAAGUCACAAAAUGCCCAAUAUAUAGCUAUCUUUUCUUUAAUAUAUAGAGACACAUCAUGAGAAAAUGGAGUACUAAAUUUUACCUAGUGCAUAUUUUCCUGCCAAUCAUAAAACUCUGAAAAAUAAGAACAUUUCACAGAAGUGGUAUCAGGCGAGAAAAAAAUAUUUCCAUUGAUUUAAUACUUUUGUGCAAUGCCUACCUAGAUUUUUGAAUUAUAAAUCACUUUGACGUUAAAUAUUUCUUUUUCUACCUAAAAGGGUCAUAAUAUUAGGAAUGUUCCACUGCACAAUAUUUGCCAUUAAUAUUUUCUUAUCUACUCUGCUUCUAAUAGUUAUUUAACUUCUUGUACCUUGCCUAGAGAACUUUUAGGGCCAGGCUUUCAAAUCUGUCUAAACUGCACCAACAAAAUUUGCAAGCCUGUAUAUGCCAUUUCCAUCAGUUACAAGUUCUCAUUCAUGGACUUUUACCUUUGCAUUUGCUCACAUGAGUUUUAUGGACAUACUUUAGGCAGCCAAUUUUAAAAAUUAAUUCCUGUCAUUACAGAAAGUGAUUAGGCCUCUUGUUUAAAUACUUAUCUUCUGCACACAAAACCUCAUUAUUUAAGCUGGGCUUUAGUGUUGUGUUAUGUUUAUUAGUUUAAUAAAAACUAAGUCUUACCUCGUGCUUUUUUGCAAGGGGAUCUGAAAAAGAACACAGGAAAAAUAAAUAUUACUUUAAAAAAAAUACUACAUUGAUUUAAUCAUACCAAAAACUAUCCAAGUGAGAUAAUUCAGAAGAGGCUGAAAAAUCCAUUUUGGUUAUUCGGCAUUAACUCUCAUUCUUUUCCCAAAAUUACACUAAGGAAUUAAAGACAACUGUCUACACCAGUGAUACUCAGACCUCAGUGGUUCAGAAGCCAAAUUAGCAAUAAAUAUUACUCAAAAGACCAACAGUAGUGUGAAUUCAUUGUUUCAUUUACUAUAGUACUAUAUUUUAUAUAUAUAUUAUUCUCACAGCAAAUAAGUGAAAUCAGUGCAAGUUGAUAACUUAGUUAAUAAAAGUAUCCUGAUUGGUUAAUAAUUAGAUCACACGGUGUUUUAAUAUCAUGUGCCGCAAACAGUUGCAAGCUGCAAGUGGAUCUUCAGCGUGUCUCCUGCAAGCCUCAGGGCUUCACUACCAGGGAGAUCAAUGCUGUUGCAAUCAAUGCAGUGCAUAUCAAAUUAGCAACUUAGGUACUCCAGCUCUCCAAGAAGAGUAAGGUAAGUUGACUGGAGAGGGUCUCCCAUUGACACAGCGCAGCGAAGACACCAGGGAAAGUCGACCUAAGCUAUGUCGACUCCAGCGACAUGAAUAAUGUAGCUGGAGUAGCGUAACUUAGGUCGACUUACGCCGGUAGUGAAGACAAGCCUCAGUCUGAGUAUCAUUGGUCUAUGUUGCAUUUUAAACCCUAUCCCUUAAAAUAAUGUAACAGAAAACAGACCCCAAUUUGUUAAAUGCAGUGAGAAUUCAUAACUGGCAAGCAACAUUUUUGCAAACAAACAAACUGCAGACGGUAUUUAAUUCUAUUCUGGUUCUUAUAUUGCCCUUAUCACCAUAGAAUCUCAGUUCCUUCCAGCAGCAUAUUAGGUGGCAUGACCAACAUCUAUAAUUUGUUCAGACUGUCAUCCUUUGCGGGUGUUUUACUGUUUUUGUUUCUUGGUUUGUUUUUAAAAUCAACACACAUUUAAUAAAAUACUGGUAACUUAGAUAAGUGCUUAGAAUAUUUUUUUUAAAAUAGACUUUUGAUUCAAUAGUAUUUUUUCCUCUUUCCAGAUCCUACCAUCGUUUCCUGCUAAAGGCAGGACCACUGCUCUGAAGACAACAGGAACAAACCAGCACCCAAAGAAUUUACAAAGAGUGUACAAGGUGCUGUGAAAUUCAGCACUUUCUCUCCUGGAACACUAUGUAGAUGACUGGAGAACUAGCAAGACAACACCACAAGCACCAAAGAAGGUAAACCUAACCAGCUGAGAAGGAAUUUUUAGUCAGCCUGUUCAAAACAGUUAUCUAUUUAAGUCAAAUAACUGAAACAAUUGGGAGAAAAGAUGUUAAAGAUUCAACAUGCCUACCACUUCAAUUCAGACCUAAAAAAGCUCCCCCUCUCCUUCAGUUCUAUGAUCCUCUAAGAAGACCUCUCCAGAAUCCCCACCAAGAUCAACAAAACAAAACACAAAACACACACACACACACACACACACACACACGGAACAAGGUUUAGCAGUCUUAUUAUUUUUAAGGUGAAAACAAAUGUCUUUAUAUAUCAAAGAAGCAAAGAGGGUACAAACUCAUUUUCCCCCUUGGCAGGUCAUCUUUAACAUUCUCAAACUGUAAUAUGGCUGUUUGUGGUUUCCCUCAACUCUCUAAUGGUUCUCUCAAUUCUUAGUAAAUCUUUGGGUAUUAAAAAACUAAAGAGUUAGCUUACACAAAAUUUUGUGGUAACCAAAUUAUCAGUCUCCUUUAUCCAGAACUCAAUAAAGGUCAAAAACUUGCACAAUUUUCAGAUCACGAUGAAACCAGCAAAUACCUUUUUGUGCUCUUCAUAUUCCAGUUUGCUUAGCAGUAAUGCCUUUUCAAGAUCUGCUUCAAACAUUUCAGAUGUCAGCUGAAGAAAUAAGAUUAAAGCAAAAACUCAUGACAGGUUUUUGUUUUUAUUAAUAAAAAGCAAAAAGGUGUGCAAUUGACAGCUAGUUAAAAUUUAAUUUUAGCCUAUGGAAUGUUACAGCUGCUGUCAACAUACUCUUGGUAAUAUGAUGAAAUGCACCAGUAAGAACAACUAAAUACAUUUGUACAACAGUUGGUAGAAUACCUUAUUGGUUGAAACACAUUUUGUUAAAUAAAAGAGUCUGACGGAAACCAUGCACUACUAAAUCACUACAGAGAAAGUGAAGGUCUUUUUUUUUUUAAAUUGCUUUUGUUCAAAAUGCUUGCUUGCAACUUAGAUCUUGAAGUUUUGCAUGCAGAAGCUUGUUGAUUUUAAAGCCUAAAAUAUCAACAAGUAGAACGGAGAAAGAAGAGUCUCUCAAAAGCAUAGGAAAGAACAGGCCAGCUUUGCUGCCAUUAACAAAAAGUAACUUCUGCUGAAUGGCAGGGAUGGCGAGAGACUCCAGGACACCAUCUGUGAAAGAAAAAAAAGUUUGUCUGGGAUGCCAUAGGAGGAGGAUGUGCAGUGCAAGAGUUGUUUCAGAGAAGCAUAAGGGAUCAAGAGCGGUCUUAGAUUAAGAAGAGAUGGAGGGAAGCUUUAGUCUUGAUGGAGUUUCUUGGGACAUGGGAUAAAAGGAAAAUUGAAAUUUUAAAUGUGGGGACUGAAAAGGAAAGAAAGAACUAAGCAUUGCUUAGCAGAGGUAGAGGGGUAACAUCUGAUUUUACAGGGUGGUGGCAUGGCAGAGGGGUAGCUGAGUUUUGUUUAGAGCACUAUAUUAAUUUCCAUGGGAAAAGGUAAGCC
Dermochelys coriacea (leatherback sea turtle) is the source of this 3564-nucleotide long non-coding RNA. RefSeq lists it as uncharacterized. NCBI's taxonomy places the organism in Eukaryota, Metazoa, Chordata, Testudines, Dermochelyidae. The record is from RefSeq and is a predicted model, not a curated record. The transcript is spliced from 2 exons.